UACGGAGGAUCCGAGCGUUAUCCGGAUUUAUUGGGUUUAAAGGGUGCGCAGGCGGGAGAUUAAGUCGGCGGUGAAAUUUUGCAGCUUAACUGUAACAGUGCCGUUGAUACUGGGGAGCUAGGAUUUGGUUGCUGUGGGUGGAAUGCGUGGUGUAGCGGUGAAAUGCUUAGAGAUCACACAGAAUAUCGAUUGCGAAGGCAGCUCACAAAGCCAAGAUUGACGCUGAGGCACGAAAGUGUGGGGAUCAAACAGGAUUA
Molecule: ribosomal RNA, 257 nt
Filed under: uncultured prokaryote
Description: partial 16S ribosomal RNA
Rfam family: Bacterial small subunit ribosomal RNA
Source: RNAcentral